UGGGGUAUAGCUCGGUGGUAGAGCACUUGCCUGGCACGUGCAAGAACCUGGGUUUUAUUCCUAGUGCCAUGA
RNAcentral lists this transfer RNA (72 nucleotides) under Heterocephalus glaber (naked mole-rat). It matches the Rfam family "tRNA". From Rfam's summary of the family: Transfer RNA (tRNA) molecules are approximately 80 nucleotides in length. Their secondary structure includes four short double-helical elements and three loops (D, anti-codon, and T loops). The record is from Rfam by way of RNAcentral. Lineage: Eukaryota; Metazoa; Chordata; Mammalia; Rodentia; Bathyergidae.